CUGUGGCACUACUAUAGUCACUACCCUCCUCAACGGUUAGGACACACACAAGGAACGGGACCCGGCUGGCGCUGGUUAUUUAUCUGGUCUGCGUCUUGGAGGUGCUGCUUUUAUCGUUCUUAGGCCAGCUGUCGCCUCUCAUGCCAGCACCACUAUGACUGUUCAUGCCACAAGCACCUUGGUGGCCUGAUGUUGCAGGAAUUUGUGCCACCACAUCACCAGCAAAUUAUCAAGGGCCAUCAUUUUCACUGCAUCCUCCACUGCCAAUUCUGGACGGUUCAGCGUUCAGUCCAGCAGCAUGGAACAGUGACAGGUGAUCAAGCAGCUCAUAAGCACACCCAUAUCUUCGUUUCAC
This is a long non-coding RNA of Rhipicephalus microplus (southern cattle tick), 355 nucleotides long. Lineage: Eukaryota; Metazoa; Arthropoda; Arachnida; Ixodida; Ixodidae. The record is from RefSeq and is a predicted model, not a curated record.